UGGGGAAUAUUGCGCAAUGGGCGAAAGCCUGACGCAGCGACGCCGCGUGAGGGAUGAAGGUUUUCGGAUCGUAAACCUCUGUCAGAAGGGAAGAAACCGCACUGUGCUAAUCAGCAGUGCCUUGACGGUACCUUCAAAGGAAGCACCGGCUAACUCCGUGCCAGCAGCCGCGGUAAUACGGAGGGUGCAAGCGUUAAUCGGAAUUACUGGGCGUAAAGCGCACGUAGGCUGCUUUGUAAGUCAGGGGUGAAAUCCCACGGCUCAACCGUGGAACUGCCUUUGAUACUGCUUAGCUUGAAUCCGGGAGAGGGUGGCGGAAUUCCAGGUGUAGGAGUGAAAUCCGUAGAUAUCUGGAGGAACAUCAGUGGCUAAGGCGGCCACCUGGACCGGUAUUGACGCUGAGGUGCGAAAGCGUGGGGAGCAAACAGG
RNAcentral lists this ribosomal RNA (429 nucleotides) under Fusobacteriota bacterium. RNAcentral's name for it is "Fusobacteria bacterium partial 16S ribosomal RNA". It matches the Rfam family "Bacterial small subunit ribosomal RNA", at positions 355 to 776 of the family's 1533-position model. The record is from RNAcentral. Lineage: Bacteria; Fusobacteriati; Fusobacteriota.